This 301-nucleotide ribosomal RNA is filed under the name uncultured bacterium. Its description in RNAcentral is "partial 16S ribosomal RNA". It matches the Rfam family "Bacterial small subunit ribosomal RNA", at positions 509 to 807 of the family's 1533-position model. The record is from RNAcentral.
CAGCAGCCGCGGGAAUACAGAGGGUGCGAGCGUUAAUCGGAUUUACUGGGCGUAAAGCGUGCGUAGGCGGCUAAUUGAGUCGGAUGUGAAAUCCCCGAGCUUAACUUGGGAAUUGCAUUCGAUACUGGUUAGCUAGAGUGUGGGAGAGUAUGGUAGAAUUCCAGGUGUAGCGGUGAAAUGCGUAGAGAUCUGGAGGAAUACCGAUGGCGAAGGCAGCCAUCUGGCCUAACACUGACGCUGAGGUACGAAAGCAUGGGGAGCAAACAGGAUUAGAUACCCCCGUAGUCCCUGUCUCUUAUAC